GGGAAACACUUCAAAUUUCAAGUAAAGCAUGGAUACAGCAUAAAUCUGAGCCAACAAUAGUGAAAGAACCUAGAAUAGCCAUGGAUUGCAGAGAAAACCCUGGAAAUGAGAAAGGUCUUGAGGAAAAUCCGAUCAUGAGUCGAAAAGACUCAUAUUGCUCGAAUAUGCCGGAGUAAUGGCCAGAGAAGCCAUAGAUCUACAGAUCUAAAAUGAUCAAAAAGGGAACCAUCAAGGUCAAGGCCUUGAUCCUUCAAAUAUCAAGCACACAGGGGUAAUACAGGGUGAGUAUGAGGUUAUCAUGACUGGAGUAACCAUGAUUUCCGGUGAGCUCGAGGUAGGAAAUGAUGAGAUAGGCUAGGGUUUCGAGAGGGUUAGAGAGAAUUUGAGA
RNAcentral lists this long non-coding RNA (388 nucleotides) under Nicotiana benthamiana. RNAcentral describes it as "long non-coding RNA (NBEN_LNC038323)". The record is from RNAcentral. Lineage: Eukaryota; Viridiplantae; Streptophyta; Magnoliopsida; Solanales; Solanaceae.